This 72-nucleotide transfer RNA is filed under the name Phycisphaerales bacterium. Its description in RNAcentral is "tRNA-Thr". It matches the Rfam family "tRNA". From Rfam's summary of the family: Transfer RNA (tRNA) molecules are approximately 80 nucleotides in length. Their secondary structure includes four short double-helical elements and three loops (D, anti-codon, and T loops). Further hydrogen bonds mediate the characteristic L-shaped molecular structure. tRNAs have two regions of fundamental functional importance: the anti-codon, which is responsible for specific mRNA codon recognition, and the 3' end, to which the tRNAs corresponding amino acid is attached (by aminoacyl-tRNA synthetases). tRNAs cope with the degeneracy of the genetic code in two manners: having more than one tRNA (with a specific anti-codon) for a particular amino acid; and 'wobble' base-pairing, i.e. permitting non-standard base-pairing at the 3rd anti-codon position. Lineage: Bacteria; Pseudomonadati; Planctomycetota; Phycisphaerae; Phycisphaerales. The record is from RNAcentral.
GCCGCUGUAGCUCAGUGGUAGAGCACACCCUUGGUAAGGGUGAGGUCGUGGGUUCAAGUCCCACUAGCGGCU